CGCGGGUAGAGCGCGCGAGAGGAGCGGCGCGGGGGCGCCCCCCUCGGCCGGGCGCUCGGGUUACAGCCCCGGCUCUCCGGCUUCCCCGCCCGCUCCUUGCCGGUUCACUCGCGCCGUGAGAGACAUUGUAACGGAACUGGGACGCCAGCGCUGCAUUGUGGGAGCUUUUAAAGCGGCGGGGAGCGCGGCGCAGCCGCUCGGGCCCACCGGGCCAAGCUCACCCCGGCGCCCCUAGCUCGGCCCCGCCGCCGCUCGCCCCACCACACACCCCCGACCGCCGAGGCCUAUGGACCAGAAAAGCCAGAAAUGGUGAGGUGACCAGUGCCUACUGACUCUCACAGGAGCAAAAUCUUCCAGAGCUCCGGGUGAGACUUGUAAAACUGCCCUCUACGGUCAUGUCGGAAAGUAGGAGGCUUAUUCUGCAGACGCUUAAAAAAGAAAAAAAGGAAAGAAAACAAAACAAAACCUUCCAUCCUCCAAGGACUGGGUUUGAAUUGCUUUUCAUCUGGAGUGGCAGUGAUUCAACGACCCCCUUCUCAGCGGCAGGCAGUGACAGAGACAGGAGAUGAAAAACACAGCGAAUGAAUCAGACGCAUUUCAAGAGAUCAGAGAUAGCCUGGCCACUCAGAAGCAUCAUCCCAUCCAUUAGGAAGAGAACCCAAAUUAAGGAUUCCACCGAUUCCAAAAAAGCAACAGUCUGGAAAAGAAGUCAGUGCUUCAGAGGUGAUCUGAAUCCAGGAAGAAAUGCAAGAUGCCUAUAAUAAAAAAACUCCUCUCUGAAAAGCCCAACAAUAGAAUAUUCAUCAGAAGAACAGUAGUUGGAGCCCAGAGGGAGACAAUGGAAGGUUGGGACCAGGGGCCCAAGUUAGAGGAAAGAAAAGAGACUUUUCUUCUAGCCAAGAUGAAAGACAUGCAAGCCAGUCAGAAAACUUCAGUGGCCCUGCAGAGUGAAGUCCAUGAGCAGGAAGAUAAAAUGGAGAAUCAAGCACAAAGAGAAGACACACAUGAUGGUCGCCCAGUGACACAGCGAUCUUUAGUACAUUUUUUUCCACAAACAGAUUCAGAUGCCACACUGCCUUUGUCACAGUCAUUAACCUAUGACACAUCUCUCAGUUACUAUAUGUCUGGCCCUCAGUUUAGUGGAAUAACUGUAUCAACAACUGGGCACAACACUCCUAAAACUACUAUAGAGGGCCAUUCCCAAUCAGCAAACAGCUUGGGAGUCAACAGCUUCAUAAUGACAAAGAAAGAGCCUCUGUCAGUCCUUGCUCCUGAGACAGCUGUAACUGGGGAAGGAGAAGAUUAUUUCCUAUCUUUGUUUGGUGAUUCAAAGAAAUUUGCUGCAUGCUCAUUCCAGGCAGAGAACACCCGGAAGCACUUUUCCAUGAUUCUUGAAGAAGUGGGCCAAUCUAGAUCCAGUGCUCUUGGAGACAUUAAAAUAGCUGAAGUAAAUGUCAAGGGUUUAUUCGUGAAGCUCAUUAACUCUUCCCUUGACAAAGAACUGGAGAUUGGAGGUCAUAUUCUCCAGCAAAAUGUGAAUGGACAAACAGUCUCUUUGUACCGCUUCCUUCCAAAUAUCAUAAUGCAGGCCAAUCGCACAGUAACAGUAUGGGCAGCUGCAUCUGAAGCAAAGCAUCAGCCACCAUCAGAUUUUCUUUGGAGAGAACAAAAAAUGUUUAAAACAAGCCCAGAUUGUACAACAAUUCUGUGCAAACCUAAUGGUGAAGCUGUCGCCUGGUACACUCCUAUUCACUGGAAACAAGUGUGGGAGAAAUUAGAGACUGACAUUGAAUUUGACAGAUGCUCAACAGUAAGUCCAACGUGUCAAAGACACAUAUUUCAUUGGCCAACAGCUAUAUCUACAACUAAAGAAAAACAAGACAAGUCUAAUAAGGAUACCUCAAAAAAUCAGAUGGAACAAGUUAGAGUUUUUCUUAAAAGAGAAAAAGAAAACCCACCAACCCUUUUUCCUAAUAGCAGUCCUUGGUGCCACAGUCCCAAUGUCCCUGCACAUCCCUACUGUCCUCUGAUUGAAACUCACAAUACCAGCAUGGCUGGAAGCAGCUUAGAUAGACAGCCUAGGCCUCAGUCAACUGGGUCUGAUCCAGCCCAGAAGCACAGUUCCUCCCAUCCUUCAGAGAUCACCACAACUUCUUUCAAAAGGCUGUCAAGAUAUCCUACCCUAUCAUAAGAGAAAUCUGAUGACAGAUACUGAAAUAAUAAAUUUUCAUCUCAUUAUAAGUCCCAUUAAUAUUCCCAUUUCACAGCUAAAAAAGGACCACGAAAAAUAAGACAUCUGAGUUACAAAAGCAAUAGGCAACGAACUUAAAGGUUGAUGGUUUAUGUUAACCACUAUUCUUGCAAUGGGAUCGGAGCACCUGAUGAACGGCAUAGAUUCACUACAGAACAUAAGCACAAUUUGAAUUCCGUGAUUUCUGAUACACAUCUCCAACACAGCCUCCUUUUGUAAAUGCUGCAGACAGGAGUGUGGCCAUUUUCAUGCAGACAGUGCUGGCAAGUGGGAGUUAUGACCUCCUCUGGCUGGUCAGGUCCAAGCCACCAAGUGUCCUGCUAGUCUGGGGACAUGAGUCAUUCAUUCAGUAUUCAGGGAAGUGCCUCUCAUUUCUGGGGAAUUAUUUACAUCCACAUUGUGUUUAAACCAAUUAAAAUAAUCCAAGGUAAAAAAAAUAGUGUAGAUAAUGUAAGAAGAAUUACUUCAGGCUUAGAAUCAGUGGAAAACAAAAACAUACAAAAACAAACUGCAAAAAUAUAUCAGUAUUAGCUACACUUAUUUAGAUUGAGACUAUUUCUCAAAUCUUUAAUGGCUAGACUGGCCAGAGGUUCACAAGUGACUUGUAGGGCUGGGUGGGUACCCAUGUCAACAAAGAUCGGGGGACAUAGUUGAUCUUAUGGCAGCUACGGGCUAAAGGGAGGAAGGCUUGGAGUGGUUCUUAAGCUAUUAGGUUAGUUUCCAGAGAGAUGAAAGAAUAUUUACCU
Molecule: RNA transcript, 2997 nt
Organism: Leopardus geoffroyi (Geoffroy's cat)
Lineage: Eukaryota; Metazoa; Chordata; Mammalia; Carnivora; Felidae
Gene: LMNTD1
Gene name: lamin tail domain containing 1
Exons: 13
Source: RefSeq, a predicted model, not a curated record